RNAcentral lists this ribosomal RNA (508 nucleotides) under uncultured bacterium. RNAcentral's name for it is "partial 16S ribosomal RNA". It matches the Rfam family "Bacterial small subunit ribosomal RNA", at positions 29 to 507 of the family's 1533-position model. The record is from RNAcentral.
ACGCACGCUGGCGGCGUGCUUCACCCCUGCAAGUCGCACGAAGAGCGCUGGAAGCUUGCUUCUAUCAAUCUUAGUGGCGAACGGGUGAGUAACGCGUAAUCAACCUGCCCUUCAGAGGGGGACAACAGUUGGAAACGACUGCUAUACCGCAUACGAUCUAAUCUCGGCAUCGAGGAUAGAUGAAAGGUGGCCUCUACAUGUAAGCUAUCACUGAAGGAGGGGAUUGCGUCUGAUUAGCUAGUUGGAGGGGUAACGGCCCACCAAGGCGAUGAUCAGUAGCCGGUCUGAGAGGAUGAACGGCCACAUUGGGACUGAGACACGGCCCAGACUCCUACGGGAGGCAGCAGUGGGGAAUCUGCCGCAAUGGACGAAAGUCUGACGGAGCAACGCCGCGUGAGCGAUGACGGCCUUCGGGUUGUAAAGCUCUGUUAAUCGGGACGAAAGGCCUUCUUGCGAAUAGUGAGAAGGAUUGACGGUACCGGAAUAGAAAGCCACGGCUAACUACGUG